RNAcentral lists this ribosomal RNA (568 nucleotides) under Thoropa miliaris (rock river frog). RNAcentral's name for it is "partial 16S ribosomal RNA". It matches the Rfam family "Bacterial large subunit ribosomal RNA", at positions 1844 to 2620 of the family's 2925-position model. Lineage: Eukaryota; Metazoa; Chordata; Amphibia; Anura; Cycloramphidae. The record is from RNAcentral.
UAUAAGAGGUCCAGCCUGCCCAGUGACUCUGUUCAACGGCCGCGGUAUCCUAACCGUGCGAAGGUAGCGUAAUCACUUGUUCUUUAAAUGAGGACUAGUAUGAAAGGCAUCACGAGGGUUAUACUGUCUCCUUUUUCUAAUUAGUGAAACUAAUCUCCUCGUGAAGAAGCGGGGAUUAUACUAUAAGACGAGAAGACCCUAUGGAGCUUUAAAUAAUGUAACAAUUGCUACUUUAUCUUUACUUACCUUAUAACAUCUAGCAACAUGAUUACUAAUUUUUGGUUGGGGUGACCGCGGAGCACAAAAUAACCUCCACAUUGAAAGGAAGAUACUCCUAAGCUAAAAGCAACAACUUUAAGCAUCAAUAAAUUGACAUUAAUUGACCCAAUAUAUUUGAUCAACGAACCAAGUUACCCUAGGGAUAACAGCGCAAUCUACUUUAAGAGCCCAUAUCGACAAGUAGGUUUACGACCUCGAUGUUGGAUCAGGGUAUCCCAGUGGUGCAGCCGCUACUAAAGGUUCGUUUGUUCAACGAUUAAAACCCUACGUGAUCUGAGUUCAGACGGGA